AGCGGGGUGGAGCAAUGGUAGCUUGCCAGGCUCAUAACCUGGAGGUUCCCGGUUCGAGUCCGGGUCCCGCAA
This 72-nucleotide transfer RNA is filed under the name bacterium. RNAcentral describes it as "tRNA-Met". It matches the Rfam family "tRNA". Rfam says of the family: Transfer RNA (tRNA) molecules are approximately 80 nucleotides in length. Their secondary structure includes four short double-helical elements and three loops (D, anti-codon, and T loops). The record is from RNAcentral. RNAcentral also lists the same sequence under 1 other name.